GACGGAGGAUGCAAGCGUUAUCCGGAAUUAUUGGGCGUAAAGCGUCCGUAGGUGGCUGAUCAAGUCUGCUGUUAAAGCGUGCGGCUUAACUGCAUAAAGGCAGUGGAAACUGGUGAGCUAGAGUGCGGUAGGGGUAAGGGGAAUUCCCAGUGUAGCGGUGAAAUGCGUAGAGAUUGGGAAGAACAUCGGUGGCGAAAGCGCCUUGCUGGGCCUGCACUGACACUGAGGGACGAAAGCUAGGGGAGCGAAAGGG
Molecule: ribosomal RNA, 253 nt
Filed under: uncultured bacterium
Lineage: Bacteria
Description: partial 16S ribosomal RNA
Rfam family: Bacterial small subunit ribosomal RNA
Source: RNAcentral